CUCUUUUUUUUUUUUUUUCCUUUUCAGUCUUUGCAGUACCUGUCCCCUCCAGUCCCCAGUGCCCCUAGUUACAGCUUUCAGUGCUGUGCUUCUGGGAGCCAAAUAGGAUUCAGUUCCCCGCUGUGUUGUGCUGCUGCGUGAGGGCUGUGGCUAACAAGAUGGCUGGAAGACCCGAGAAGCAUUUGCCUUUGAUCAGAUUCACUCUCCUCUGUUUGAAAAUGGUUAUUUCAUCGAAAACAGCUCCUGAAAUACCAACUAUUGAUCAGGCAUAUUCGAAGAUCAGCAAUAGCAUCACCGUAGAAUGGACUACCGUGCCAGGCGCCACAAGUUACCUGCUCACGGCUGAAGAUGGGGACACAACCAUUGAGACCACAGUGGCCAAUUCCCCGGGCACUGUGACAGGCCUGAA
RNAcentral lists this long non-coding RNA (409 nucleotides) under Rattus norvegicus (Norway rat). RNAcentral describes it as "long non-coding RNA NONRATT016793". The record is from RNAcentral. Lineage: Eukaryota; Metazoa; Chordata; Mammalia; Rodentia; Muridae.